GCGGACGUGGUGAAAUUGGUAGACACACCAGAUUUAGGUUCUGGCGCCGCGAGGUGUGNGAGUUCGAGUCUCNCCGUCCGCACCA
This 85-nucleotide transfer RNA is filed under the name Pseudomonadales bacterium. RNAcentral's name for it is "tRNA-Leu". It matches the Rfam family "tRNA". From Rfam's summary of the family: Transfer RNA (tRNA) molecules are approximately 80 nucleotides in length. Their secondary structure includes four short double-helical elements and three loops (D, anti-codon, and T loops). The record is from RNAcentral. Lineage: Bacteria; Pseudomonadati; Pseudomonadota; Gammaproteobacteria; Pseudomonadales.